GACGAACGCUGGCGGCGUGCCUAAUACAUGCAAGUGGGACGCAAGGAAACACACUGUGCUUGCACACCGUGUUUUCUUGAGUCGCGAACGGGUGAGUAACGCGUAGGUAACCUGCCUAUUAGCGGGGGAUAACUAUUGGAAACGAUAGCUAAUACCGCAUAAUAUUAAUUAUUGCAUGAUAAUUGAUUGAAAGAUGCAAGCGCAUCACUAGUAGAUGGACCUGCGUUGUAUUAGCUAGUUGGUAAGGUAAGAGCUUACCAAGGCGACGAUACAUAGCCGACCUGAGAGGGUGAUCGGCCACACUUGGACUGAGACACGGCCCAGACUCCUACGGGAGGCAGCAGUAGGGAAUCUUCGGCAAUGGACGAAAGUCUGACCGAGCAACGCCGCGUGAGUGAAGAAGGUUUUCGGAUCGUAAAGCUCUGUUGUAAGUCAAGAACGUGUGUGAGAGUGGAAAGUUCACACAGUGACGGUAGCUUACCAGAAAGGGACGGCUAACUACGUG
This 505-nucleotide ribosomal RNA is filed under the name uncultured bacterium. Its description in RNAcentral is "partial 16S ribosomal RNA". It matches the Rfam family "Bacterial small subunit ribosomal RNA", at positions 28 to 507 of the family's 1533-position model. The record is from RNAcentral.